Molecule: long non-coding RNA, 601 nt
Organism: Canis lupus familiaris (dog)
Lineage: Eukaryota; Metazoa; Chordata; Mammalia; Carnivora; Canidae
Exons: 3
Source: RefSeq, a predicted model, not a curated record
UCGUGGGGUUCCUUUGUCUGAGAUCCUCGUUUUUGUCAGUAGCACCAAUUGUGAUGUCAUGGUCGCGUGUGGAGCCAUGGCGCCGGCUCAGUGCCUGCCCCUGUCGCCAGCCGGCCAGGUCCCCGGGGGCGGCGGCCUCCCUCCUCACCGCUGCACAGACCCGGACCCGGCACCCCAGAGUGAGGAGCCCAUUGUUCUGUGGGAAACCCUGGAGGAGACAGCCCCGCGGUGUAGGGCGUGGGGGGGCCAGCAGGCUAAGCACCUGCUGGGUCCUGCAGAAGGCCUUGGGGCCCCAGGUUGGAUGCAGCCACGACCGUGAGCCGGGGGAGGGGGACAGCCUCCCCGUGAGUCUCACCUGGUGCUCCCCCCCACCGCCCCGGAAGCCUGGACGGGCCACUCGGGACUGGCAGGAUUGUGUGUAUUUAUUCUUGAGAGGCACAGAGAGAGGCAGAGACCCAGGCAGAGGGAGAAGCAGACUCCCUGCGGGGACCCUGGUGUCACACCCUGAGCCAGAGGCAGGUGCUCAACCGCUGAGCCCCCAGGCGUCCCUAAUGUUUUAUUUUCUGUGUCUUUUAAUAAUUAAUGAGAAAGAAACACUGCA